This is a long non-coding RNA of Pistacia vera, 2356 nucleotides long. RefSeq lists it as uncharacterized. The record is from RefSeq and is a predicted model, not a curated record. Lineage: Eukaryota; Viridiplantae; Streptophyta; Magnoliopsida; Sapindales; Anacardiaceae. The transcript is spliced from 3 exons.
UAUACUUUUUCGUGAAGACGAAAGGUCGCACUCUCUUUCCCAAUCCCAAACCCGAAAGCAAGUAAAACUUGAUAAAAGAAGAAAUUCCCACAAUCUGUUUCAGCUUGCUCUCUCUCUCUCUCUCUCUCUCUGAUGGUGAUACCCGUUUACUCUUUCUGGUUUUAUUUUAGUGGUGGUGUUGUUGCCUUUUCGAUCUGGCUGCUGUGAUUGGUUUCAUUUGGCCGCGAUUCCAAACUUGGAGUAAAUGAUAAAACAAAAGGCUUUCGUUUUGCGACCAAAACUCGGAAAUUCAACAUCAAAUUUCUCUAGAAGUUCUCCGAGGAUCAAUACGCAUGGUAAUAUACAAUUCCAGUUGGGCAUAUGUGUUCAUUCACCAGUUCCUGACUUUGUAUUGGUCUUUGUGGAUUGGGAGAAUUUAUUUUGCUGGCCUCAAUGUUAUUCUAUCACGGACCAAGGAAGAGUCACAACACCUAGUAUUGUGCGAUUCUCGGUGUCUUGAAAAUUCAAAUCAAGAUUAACUGAAUAAUGCUUACAAAGGAACUGCUAUAAUGAGUCAUCCAACAAAUGUGAAGAUCCUGAUAAAAAAGGUUCUGGCAAUCGUAUCUUUUUGUUGAAUAUUAUGCUAUAGGCUAUGCGUCACUUAUUCUAUCCAUAAAAACUUCUGGAUUUGGUAGUAUCAUGAUGUUUCAGUUAUGCCAUGUUUUGGAAUGAAGAUAUGCUGUUGAGUUUGUUUUUUCAUUUCCAGAAAGCUUUGAGAUUGAACUUCGAAUGCUUAAACACUUGACUUUAAAUGCACCUAAUUAAUCAAGUCUCCAUUGUGCUAUAGUUUUGAAUGGAUAUGUUUUCUCAUGAUGGUUGGAUCUUAAUUUUUAGAAUGCUUGAGAUUGAUCAAUUUGUUAAUACCAAAGGUCAGAUUCAUAAAUCAUAUUCUUUCCAUCCUAAAAAAUUUUAUCUGCUCUUUUUCCAGGACAUAUUUUUCUAGAAUUUAAGAACUUUUUUGUUUCUACAAUAUCAUGCCCAUAUAGAACUCUCAUCUUGGUGUAUAAUAACAUUGUCAGAUUCCAUAGAAAAUGCUCAGGUCGAUCUAACAAUUUUGGUAAUUCCUUUGUGUUAAAUGUCAAUCCUUAAUACAAAUACUUGGUCAAGCAUUGGCAACAAUUCAGUUCAUUCUCUUUUCUAUGUCCAAUUUAAAUGUGAUCAGUGCUGCCUUGUCAACUGGAAAUGAAUGGAUAUUUAAGCAUUCUGGUGAGUGGUUUCAGGUUUGAAUGUUCUCUCCAUCAAUAGGGGGAUUCAAGUAAUCAACUUGUGGAUGUUGUUCAACAGACAGAGCUUUUUACUAGCUUCUACUCUGAGUGCCUAGCAGAUAGACAGAGAAGAGAAUAUCUGCAACAAGACCCUAUUGGAGCUCAGUCCUGAAGAAAAAGAAGCAACACUACUGGCUGAGAAACAUGCAUUGUAUGACGAAGUCAUUCCCCUCCAACCCAAUGCCAUUGUCUUCCCCUAAAAACAAUCUGCUUCUCACCCCAAAUCAAGGUGAUUGUCCAUCCCCCAAGGUAACUGUUAAUGUUAAUGUGCAGUUUAGUUUUUAUUUUAUUUUUACUGCAGUUUAGUCAAGUUAAUUGUUUAGUUAGUUUGAUUGACUUGAGUUAAAACAUGUGAUGUGGGAGAAACCACUUAUUGGCUUAGCUUUGGGCCUUAAGAAAAUAUGUAAGGCUGUGUGUUUUCCUCUGUAAGUAGACGAAAACAAAGAAAUAGAAAAAAGGGCUGUAGAAAAAAGUGCAGAAAUGGAAAAUCAAAAGACCAGCAAAUAAAGCUAGAACUUCUUCACAAAUCUUCUUCUUUUAAUUUCUCAAAUUGUUCCUCUGUGUUCAGUUUUUAGACGACUUUUCAGAUUGUUUUCUUCAGGUCUUGAGCUCCACUCCUCUGUCUUUUCCUGGAAAUUGUUUGUGUAUUUGUGUUGUGAAGUUGUUGAACAAAUCAGCCAAUGUUAGCUCUGCAUCUUGGUUCUACAGCCCUAAUUACUCAUUGAGAAGAUAUAAGUUCUGGUGUGAACGAAGUGGAUGGAAUUUUCAGUGUAUACAUAUGUUUACUUUGUGCUUAAAAUUCUGUUUUGUUCAUUGUGAGCGCAGGUUGUAUUUGCAGCUGUAUAGGCAGUCUAUAGAUAAGAUAAUUUUUCUUUUGAUGGUAUAUCAAUUUCCUUGAAGCAACGCAUUUCAUCUUCAUUUCAAGUUUCAGCUACUUGAAUGAUUUAUAUUGAUGGCAAUUUUCUGGUUCUGAAUGCAAACUCUUGUAUUUUGGUUACUCUAUAGUAACCUUGAUGUAAGGGUUAGUCAUAAAUGAUAAUAACCUUUGAUUU